CUAGAAACGAGGAAGAAGAAACGAACGUAAGCAGAAUUCUGACAUUGCCAACGGUCGAAGAACAUGAUAGUAGUACCACUCCGGUUUGCUGCUCUACCACUUGGAUGGGUCAGAACACUCACUGUCCUCCUCCUUGUGUUCGACAUCCUGUCCCUCACUGAGGCGGUGUACGGCUAUGUUAGGAAAGAAAACUUCUUCCUACAAAUUAAACCUUUCCCUUCGAGGAGCCACCUAAUAAGUCAGACUACAGCCGACCAAAUUCUACUUUUCUACAUUGCCAUCACAAGUAUUGCCGUUAUCCUCGAUAUCUACCUCAUCACCCAGCUA
Ornithodoros turicata is the source of this 327-nucleotide long non-coding RNA. RefSeq lists it as uncharacterized. The record is from RefSeq and is a predicted model, not a curated record. Lineage: Eukaryota; Metazoa; Arthropoda; Arachnida; Ixodida; Argasidae. The transcript is spliced from 4 exons.